UGCUAAUAAUUCUCUAGUGGCGCACGGGUGAGUAACACGUGAGUACCUGCCCCCAAGAGUGGGAUAGCCCCGGGAAACUGGGAUUAAUACCGCAUAAAGCAAUAAAGCAGCAAUGCGCCUGGGGAUGGGCUCGCGUCCUAUUAGUUAGUUGGUGAGGUAACGGCUCACCAAGGCGAUGACGGGUAGCCGGUCUGAGAGGAUGUCCGGCCACACUGGAACUGAGACACGGUCCAGACACCUACGGGUGGCAGCAGUCGAGAAUCAUUCACAAUGGGGGAAACCCUGAUGGUGCGACGCCGCGUGGGGGAUAAGGUCUUCGGAUUGUAAACCCCUGUCAUGUGGGACAUUAAAAGAUAGUACCACAAGAGGAAGAGACGGCUAACUCUGUGCCAGCAGCCGCGGUAAUACAGAGGUCUCAAGCGUUGUUCGGAAUCACUGGGCGUAAAGCGUGCGUAGGCGGUUUCGUAAGUCGUGUGUGAAAGGCGGGGGCUCAACCCCCGGACUGCACAUGAUACUGCGAGACUAGAGUAAUGGAGGGGGAACCGGAAUUCUCGGUGUAGCAGUGAAAUGCGUAGAUAUCGAGAGGAACACUCGUGGCGAAGGCGGGUUCCUGGACAUUAACUGACGCUGAG
Molecule: ribosomal RNA, 632 nt
Filed under: uncultured bacterium
Lineage: Bacteria
Description: bacterial SSU rRNA
Rfam family: Bacterial small subunit ribosomal RNA
Source: RNAcentral